Molecule: non-coding RNA, 135 nt
Organism: Triticum aestivum (bread wheat)
Lineage: Eukaryota; Viridiplantae; Streptophyta; Magnoliopsida; Poales; Poaceae
Source: Rfam
CAACUACUCCCUCUGUCCCAAAUUUCUUGUCUUAGAUUUGUCUAGAUACGGAUGUAUAUAAUACUAAAAUGUGACUUGAUACAUCCGUAUCUAGACAAAUCUAAGACAAGAAUUUUGGGACGGAGGGAGUACUUU